Molecule: ribosomal RNA, 427 nt
Filed under: uncultured bacterium
Lineage: Bacteria
Description: bacterial SSU rRNA
Rfam family: Bacterial small subunit ribosomal RNA
Source: RNAcentral
UGGGGAAUAUUGGACAAUGGGCGCAAGCCUGAUCCAGCCACGCCGCGUGAGUGAUGAAGGCCUUCGGGUCGUAAAGCUCUGUGGGGAGGGACGAACCGCCGGACGUUCAUAGCGUACGGCAUGACGGUACCUCCUUAGCAAGCACCGGCUAACUUCGUGCCAGCAGCCGCGGUAAUACGAAGGGUGCAAACGUUGCUCGGAAUUAUUGGGCGUAAAGCGCACGUAGGCGGCUUUGCAAGUCCCAUGUGAAAGCCCACGGCUUAACCGUGGAAGUGCAUGGGAAACUGCAGAGCUUGAGUACUUAAGAGGAUCGCGGAAUUCCCGGUGUAGAGGUGAAAUUCGUAGAUAUCGGGAGGAACACCAGUGGCGAAGGCGGCGAUCUGGGAAGAUACUGACGCUGAGGUGCGAAAGCGUGGGGAGCAAACAG